RNAcentral lists this ribosomal RNA (497 nucleotides) under uncultured bacterium. Its description in RNAcentral is "partial 16S ribosomal RNA". It matches the Rfam family "Bacterial small subunit ribosomal RNA", at positions 28 to 507 of the family's 1533-position model. The record is from RNAcentral.
GAUGAACGCUGGCGGCGUGCCUAAUACAUGCAAGUCGAGCGAACAGAUGAGGAGCUUGCUCCUCUGACGUUAGCGGCGGACGGGUGAGUAACACGUGGAUAACCUACCUAUAAGACUGGGAUAACUUCGGGAAACCGGAGCUAAUACCGGGUAAUAUAUUGAACCGCAUGGUUCAAUAGUGAAAGACGGUUUUGCUGUCACUUAUAGAUGGAUCCGCGCCGCAUUAGCUAGUUGGUAAGGUAACGGCUUACCAAGGCAACGAUGCGUAGCCGACCUGAGAGGGUGAUCGGCCACACUGGAACUGAGACACGGUCCAGACUCCUACGGGAGGCAGCAGUAGGGAAUCUUCCGCAAUGGGCGAAAGCCUGACGGAGCAACGCCGCGUGAGUGAUGAAGGUCUUCGGAUCGUAAAACUCUGUUAUUAGGGAAGAACAAAUGCGUAAGUAACUAUGCACGUCUUGACGGUACCUAAUCAGAAAGCCACGGCUAACUACGUG